RNAcentral lists this long non-coding RNA (208 nucleotides) under Elaeis guineensis (African oil palm). RNAcentral's name for it is "long non-coding RNA (EGUI_LNC007645)". The record is from RNAcentral. Lineage: Eukaryota; Viridiplantae; Streptophyta; Magnoliopsida; Arecales; Arecaceae.
GUAUGGUUUUGGCUGCUUGAAGACUUCCAUCCUGAUGAUCUACCAAUAUCUCAAUUGGCACUAUGGAACAUUUGGAGACAGCAGGAUCCCAAAAGAGCAUUACACAUAGGACUAGAUAAUUUAUUGGCUGUAGGACUAUAGAUCCUAUGGAAAGAAUGAAACAAAUGUUAUUUCAACUUUCAUGCUUUUUGUCCGAAUUUUGUGGCCC